Molecule: non-coding RNA, 711 nt
Organism: Cyanistes caeruleus (blue tit)
Lineage: Eukaryota; Metazoa; Chordata; Aves; Passeriformes; Paridae
Source: RefSeq, a predicted model, not a curated record
AGAGGAGCCUCAGCUGUGUCCCCACACAAGUAGCAGCUGAAGAAGUUUUUGCUGCUGAAAAGCAAGAGCUGGGGCUGUAGCCAGGUGAAUUUGGUAGCUAGAGUGCAUGAAGGAACUGCAGUGAAUUACCUGAGGAGACAGAAGGUGAGGUAAACAACACCCAACCUCACGUGUGUAAGCUGAGGUGAACUUUGUGGGGGACUUUGCUCUAUGGAAUGUCCCUAAAAGGGCUCAGCAGGGGCAGGUGCUGCUGGGACUGUGGCAAAGCAGCUACUAAUCCUCGCUGGCUGUUUGUUACCGAGUGUGUUUUGUUGCCGGAUGUCGAUGAAGCUGUUGUUAAACAGGGGCAGCGUAGCACAGCUGCAGGCGGCCGUGUGAGGCGGCAGGCCCGAGGCCGGGCCCGCGGCCCGGGGCCGCCUCCCCCACACCAGCCCGGCUCGCUCGCAUGUUCUGGCCGCCACCGUGAAGGUCAAUGCCGUGAGGUUUAGGCAACAGACCUGCAGCUUUUGAGGCACAAGCAGAUAUUCAGCUGGUGAUCAACCCUUAAUGAAGAUUAACAUCCCUGCAGCUGAGAUAAAGAAAUUGCCUGCCAGUACCCAAAGAUGUCAAGGUCAGAGAAGACUGCAGUGACCUAGGCAGCCAACAUUUCAGUCCAAAUGGUAUCUGCAGAAGACAAGUUGGCAAAGAGGAUUCUGGCAAGGAAAAAGCAUG